AGUGAACGCUGGCGGUAGGCCUAACACAUGCAAGUCGAACGGCAGCACAGUAAGAGCUUGCUCUUACGGGUGGCGAGUGGCGGACGGGUGAGGAAUACAUCGGAAUCUACUUUUUCGUGGGGGAUAACGUAGGGAAACUUACGCUAAUACCGCAUACGACCUACGGGUGAAAGCAGGGGAUCUUCGGACCUUGCGCGAUUGAAUGAGCCGAUGUCGGAUUAGCUAGUUGGCGGGGUAAAGGCCCACCAAGGCGACGAUCCGUAGCUGGUCUGAGAGGCUGAUCAGCCACACGGGAACUGAGAAACGGUCCAGACUCCUACGGGAGGCAGCAGGGGGGAAUAUUGGACAAGGGGCGCAAGCCUGAUCCAGCCAUACCGCGGGGGUGAAGAAGGCCUUCGGGUUGUAAAGCCCUUUUGUUGGGAAAGAAAAGCAGCAGGUUAAAACCCCGCUGUUCUGACGGUACCCAAAGAAUAAGCACCGGCUAACUUCGU
RNAcentral lists this ribosomal RNA (491 nucleotides) under uncultured bacterium. RNAcentral describes it as "partial 16S ribosomal RNA". It matches the Rfam family "Bacterial small subunit ribosomal RNA", at positions 29 to 506 of the family's 1533-position model. The record is from RNAcentral.